Molecule: ribosomal RNA, 1827 nt
Filed under: human gut metagenome
Description: bacterial LSU rRNA
Rfam family: Bacterial large subunit ribosomal RNA
Source: RNAcentral
GAUGUUGGCUUAGAAGCAGCCAUGCAUUUAAAGAGUGCGUAACAGCUCACUGGUCGAGUGGACAUGCGCCGACAAUUCACGGGGCUAAGCGAUGCACCGAAGCGGCGGACUGAUCUUUCAGUGGUAGGGGAGCUUUCCAUGGCCGGCGAAGCGGGCGCGCGAGCGUCCGUGGAGGGCAUGGAAGUGAGAAUGCUGGCAUGAGUAACGAGACCAGGGCGAGAAACCCUGGCGCCGUGAGCCUAAGGGUUCCUGGGCGAGGCUAAUCCCCCCAGGGUCAGUCGGGAGCUAAGGCGAGGCCGCGAGGCGUAGCCGAUGCGCAGCGGGCAGACAUUCCCGCACCGCCGACGGCGCGGCAUUACCGAUGGGGCGACGGAGAAGGGUAGCCGGGCGGGGUUCUGGACGUCCCCGUGAAAGCGCGUAGGGCGCGCAGCGUGGAAAUCAGCUGCGCACGGGGCCUGAGACGCGAGACGAAGCGAGCGAGCGAAGCCGGUGAGCCCAUGCUUCCGAGAAAAACCUCUAGGGAGUGCCGUCGGCGCCCGUACCAAAACCGACACAGGUGGGCGGGUAGAACAUACCGAGGCGAUCGGGAGAACCACGGUUAAGGAACUCGGCAUACUGGCCCCGUAACUUCGGGAGAAGGGGCGCCGCCGGCUGUGAACGCCCUCGCGGCGGGAGCGGCUGGCGGCCGCAGCGAAACGGCCCAAGCGACUGUUUAUCAAAAACACAGGACUCUGCAAAGCCGCAAGGCGACGUAUAGGGUCUGACGCCUGCCCGGUGCCGGAAGGUUACGCGGAUGCGUCAGCCGAAAGGCGAAGCGCUGAAGCCAAGCCCCGGUAAACGGCGGCCGUAACUAUAACGGUCCUAAGGUAGCGAAAUUCCUUGUCGGGUAAGUUCCGACCUGCACGAAUGGCGUAACGAUUUGGGCGCUGUCUCAACCGUGGACCCGGUGAAAUUGUACUGUUCGUGAAGAUGCGAACUACCCGCGGAAGGACGGAAAGACCCCGUGAACCUUUACUGCAGCUUGGCAUUGGCAUCUGGUACGGCGCGUAGAGGAUAGGCGGGAGCCUUUGAAGCGGGGGCGCAAGCCCCCGUGGAGGCGACCUUGGAAUACCGCCCUCGUCGUGCCGGCUGCCUAACGCGCGGCCGUGAUCCGGCGCGCGGACCGUGCCAGGCGGGUAGUUUGACUGGGGCGGUCGCCUCCCAAAACGUAACGGAGGCGCGCGAAAGGUCCGCUCAGGACGGUCGGCAACCGUCCCGAGAGCGCAAGAGUGCAAGCGGGCUUGACUGCGAGAGAGACACCUCGAGCAGGGACGAAAGUCGGUUCUAGUGAUCCGGCGGCACAGAGUGGAAUGGCCGUCGCUCAACGGAUAAAAGGUACUCCGGGGAUAACAGGCUGAUCUUGCCCAAGAGUCCACAUCGACGGCAAGGUUUGGCACCUCGAUGUCGGCUCAUCGCAUCCUGGGGCUGGAGCAGGUCCCAAGGGUACGGCUGUUCGCCGUUUAAAGCGGUACGCGAGCUGGGUUCAGAACGUCGUGAGACAGUUCGGUCCCUAUCCUCCGCGGGCGCAAGGGAGUUGAGGAGAUCUGCCCCUAGUACGAGAGGACCGGGGUGGACGGACCUCUGGUGACGCGGUUGUCGACCAACGGCACCGCCGCCUAGCUACGUCCGGCACGGAUAACCGCUGAAGGCAUCUAAGUGGGAAGCCGCCUCCGAGAUGAGCUCCCUUUCCGGUAAGGGCCCAGAUAGACUAUCUGGUCGAUAGGGCGCAGCUGCAAGCAGGGCGACCUGCUCAGGCGAGCGCUACUAAUAGCCCGAGCUCUUCUUCAU